This 493-nucleotide ribosomal RNA is filed under the name uncultured bacterium. Its description in RNAcentral is "partial 16S ribosomal RNA". It matches the Rfam family "Bacterial small subunit ribosomal RNA", at positions 29 to 523 of the family's 1533-position model. The record is from RNAcentral.
AUUGAACGCUGGCGGCAUGCCUUACACAUGCAAGUCGAACGGUAACAGGUUAAGCUGACGAGUGGCGAACGGGUGAGUAACACAUCGGAACGUGCCCAAUCGUGGGGGAUAACGUAGCGAAAGCUACGCUAAUACCGCAUACGAUCUACGGAUGAAAGCGGGGGAUCGCAAGACCUCGCGCGAAUGGAGCGGCCGAUGGCAGAUUAGGUAGUUGGUGAGGUAAAGGCUCACCAAGCCUGCGAUCUGUAGCUGGUCUGAGAGGACGACCAGCCAAACGGGGACUGAGACACGGCCCAGACUCCGACGGGAGGCAGCAGUGGGGAAUUUUGGGCAAUGGGCGCAAGCCUGAUCCAGCAAUGCCGCGUGCAGGAUGAAGGCCUUCGGGUUGUAAACUGCUUUUGUACGGAACGAAACGGUCCUUUCUAAUACAGGGGGCUAAUGACGGUACCGUAAGAAUAAGCACCGGCUAACUACGUGCCAGCAGCCGCGGUAA